Molecule: ribosomal RNA, 254 nt
Filed under: uncultured bacterium
Lineage: Bacteria
Description: partial 16S ribosomal RNA
Rfam family: Bacterial small subunit ribosomal RNA
Source: RNAcentral
GUCCACGCCGUAACGAUGGAUACUAGCUGUUGGGAGCAAUCUCAGUGGCUAAGCGAAAGUGAUAAGUAUCCCACCUGGGGAGUACGUUCGCAAGAAUGAAACUCAAAGGAAUUGACGGGGCCCGCACAAGCGGUGGAGCAUGUGGUUUAAUUCGAUGAUACGCGAGGAACCUUACCAAGGCUUAAAUGUAGUUUGACCGAUUUGGAAACAGAUUUUUCGCAAGACAAAAUUACAAGGUGCUGCAUGGUUGUCGU